Molecule: transfer RNA, 64 nt
Filed under: Anomopsocus amabilis
Lineage: Eukaryota; Metazoa; Arthropoda; Insecta; Psocodea; Lachesillidae
Description: tRNA-Ala
Rfam family: tRNA
About the family: Transfer RNA (tRNA) molecules are approximately 80 nucleotides in length. Their secondary structure includes four short double-helical elements and three loops (D, anti-codon, and T loops).
Source: RNAcentral
AAGAAUAUAGUUAAAUAUAACAUUUGACCUGCAAUCAAAAAGUAUUGGAUACCAAUUUUUCUUA